Molecule: unclassified non-coding RNA, 1786 nt
Filed under: Hevea brasiliensis (rubber tree)
Lineage: Eukaryota; Viridiplantae; Streptophyta; Magnoliopsida; Malpighiales; Euphorbiaceae
Source: RNAcentral
CAUAAACCAAGAUCAUCUCAUUCUUAUCAUCACAAUAACCAAUUAAGGACACCAGAUGCACAUGCCUUAGCUUUGACAGCAUGUGAAUCUCUGUUUCGAACUCGCGGACUCCUUGCUUUGAUGAAGGAUUCAACCUCUUGACUGCAACUAUGGUUGCACCGUUGUCUAUGUACCCUUUGUACACAUUACCAAAACCUCCAUAACCAAUCACAAAUUUUUCAUCAAAAUUGCCUGUUGCAGUUUUUAUCUCUUCUAGUAAAAAGUGUCGGCACAGAUCGGAUGGUAGUGAUGAUGAGCGUGAGCCGCCUGUCCUUUGGGUUGAGUCCGAUGUAGUUGACAAAGGGAUCCAUGAUGACUUUGUAACGCUUGUAUGAAGAUCUUUUCCCCUUCUCCACCGCCGGAAAAUCAAGAAACAGAGAAUUGAAAACAGAGCAAUUCCGCUAAUAACAGCCACUGCAGUGAUAACAGCAAUGAUGUGUGAUGAUUUCUUUUUCUUAUUGUUGUUUGGUGGUGAAUUAUUCGGAAAGAAAACUUCAGGAUUCGGCACGGAGAGGCUUCCAUUGGGGCCGUUCAACUUGAAAAUUUCUAAUCCAUUUAAGAUAGCAUUUUGAUAUGCAGAAUCUGGGUUAGGACUCAACUUAAGCGUCAGGUUUUGCGCACCAUCUAGGUUUCUAACCACAUAGUCUUUGUACACAGGGAUUCUCCAGCCUUCACUCCAUUGUAUUACAUCAGCCUCUCGCUGGGCUGUUUGGUUUCCGAUAGAAAUGGAGAAACUUCUAUCGUUUAUUUCUUUAACUUCCGGCUGAAUCUCACAAAAAUGGAGCCUGAAAAGAUAUGAGAAACCAGAGUUUAGAGGGAAUUCCCAAUACAGUCCCGAGCUGUAAUUGUCCAUAAUCCUCGAGGUUGUGUAAACUAUGGUUGGCGCAGUAUAAUUCGGGGUUUCAGAAGUGUAAGUGAUGUUGGCAUCAGGAAAAUGAGGAGUUUGAUAGCCUAAUCCAACAACAAAUGCAUUAUCUGAAUCCCAUACACGAUACAUCCCUGUAUCCUCUGUGCUUUCAACUAAAUUGCCUCCCACGUUCAGCCUGUACAAUGUUUCAAGAGCAGUGCUAUUAUUGAUGUUAUAUGUAUUAGUACUCCCAGUCAAUUUGACGUCUCCAUGGAUGUAAAGAUCAGUUGGCAUAGAAAGUAUCUCAAUCCCAUUAACAAAAGCAUAAGAGUUUGGUGAAGGAGAAAAGGUUAAUUUGAGCAUCUGUGUUUCAUCAACAUUGAUGACAUAUUCUUUUUGAACAGCUUUAGUACUACUUGCAGAGACUGUGAAGAAAGCACUGAAGUUACUCAAGAGGGUUAAAUUAUUAGCUGUGACGGAGAAAAAAGAAUCAGCUUUGUUAAAACCGGAGUAAUUGGCAGGGUAGAAAUAGAGACGGAGGAAUAUUGUGCCAGGGGUAACACGGAAAGUAUAGGUGAAUUGAGAUCUCAUAAUACGAAUACCAGUCGUAUAAGGAAUUCUAUUGACAGAAGGAUCUUGUUCAAGAGCUGUGGCUGUUGUGGAUAUGCUUGAAAAGUCGGAAGGUAAGAAAUUUGGAAAGUGAGUAUCAGUAUCCCAUCGACGGCCAGUAUCAUCGGUGAUGGCUGAUUGUGCGCCACAGUUAAGCAAGACGAAGACUGUGGCGUUAUACGGUGGCGACGUGGUAGCAAUAGUGGCGGUUAUGAGUUGUAAGAAGAGAAAGAAAAGUAAAGUGAUGGUUGCCAUGGGGAGUUGGUGUAAGGAGAUAUUAGCUGUUCCAAG